AUUGAACGCUGGCGGAAUGCUUUACACAUGCAAGUCGAACGGCAGCACGGGGGCAACCCUGGUGACGAGUGGCGAACGGGUGAGUAAUGUAUCGGAACGUGCCCAGUCGUGGGGGAUAACGUAGUGAAAAUUACGCUAAUACCGCAUACGAUCUACGGAUGAAAGCGGGGGAUCGCAAGACCUCGCGCGAUUGGAGCGGCCGAUAUCAGAUUAGGUAGUUGGUGGGGUAAAGGCUCACCAAGCCAACGAUCUGUAGCUGGUCUGAGAGGACGACCAGACACACUGGAACUGAGACACGGUCCAGACUCCUACGGGAGGCAGCAGUGGGGAAUUUUGGACAAUGGGCGAAAGCCUGAUCCAGCCAUUCCGCGUGCAGGAUGAAGGCCUUCGGGUUGUAAACUGCUUUUGUACGGAGCGAAAAGGCUCUCUCUAAUACAGGGGGCUCAUGACGGUACCGUAAGAAUAAGCACCGGCUAACUACGUGCCAGCCGCCGCGGUAA
Molecule: ribosomal RNA, 500 nt
Filed under: uncultured bacterium
Lineage: Bacteria
Description: partial 16S ribosomal RNA
Rfam family: Bacterial small subunit ribosomal RNA
Source: RNAcentral